RNAcentral lists this long non-coding RNA (393 nucleotides) under Malus domestica (apple). RNAcentral's name for it is "long non-coding RNA (MDOM_LNC010500)". Lineage: Eukaryota; Viridiplantae; Streptophyta; Magnoliopsida; Rosales; Rosaceae. The record is from RNAcentral.
CGGAGAGACUCAUUUGGAUUCUUCUUGAUGUUGAAGAGAUGAUCGAACUUCUUCUUGAUUGAGCGGUAAGAUGGGUACUCUUUAGUGUAAACUAUGGAAAGCUCAUCGAAACUCUGAAUAGACUGUGGAUGGAGGAGGGUAUGAAACCAAUCAUGCACCUCGCCUUGCAAAGUAGUAGUGAACAUCUUGCACAUUAAGGAGUCGUUGGCCCUGUAGAGGAUUAUCGUGCUACGGUAAUGCUUGAAGUGUCUUUUCUGGUCUCAAUCUCCCUUGAAUAGGGUGAAAUGUGGCGUAUUAAACUUAUUCAGGGGCUUUGUCUGCUCGAUCUCAUCUGUGAAAGGUAAUCUGCCUAUGUAAGCCACGUCUCUGCAAAAGGCUUUGGCUGUGGUCUCG